Molecule: ribosomal RNA, 478 nt
Filed under: uncultured bacterium
Lineage: Bacteria
Description: partial 16S ribosomal RNA
Rfam family: Bacterial small subunit ribosomal RNA
Source: RNAcentral
GAUGAACGCUGGCGGCGUGCUUAACACAUGCAAGUCGAACGGGAAAUAUUUCAUUGAGACUUCGGUGGAUUUGAUUUAUUUCUAGUGGCGGACGGGUGAGUAACGCGUGGGUAACCUGCCUUAUACAGGGGGAUAACAGUCAGAAAUGGCUGCUAAUACCGCAUAAGCGCACAGAGCUGCAUGGCUCAGUGUGAAAAACUCCGGUGGUAUAAGAUGGACCCGCGUUGGAUUAGCUAGUUGGUGGGGUAACGGCCCACCAAGGCGACGAUCCAUAGCCGGCCUGAGAGGGUGAACGGGCACAUUGGGACUGAGACACGGCCCAGACUCCUACGGGAGGCAGCAGUGGGGAAUAUUGCACAAUGGGGGAAACCCUGAUGCAGCGACGCCGCGUGAAGGAAGAAGUAUCUCGGUAUGUAAACUUCUAUCAGCAGGGAAGAUAGUGACGGUACCUGACUAAGAAGCCCCGGCUAACUACGUG